This 223-nucleotide long non-coding RNA is filed under the name Lathyrus oleraceus (garden pea). Its description in RNAcentral is "Pisum sativum (pea) long non-coding RNA (PSAT_LNC027428)". Lineage: Eukaryota; Viridiplantae; Streptophyta; Magnoliopsida; Fabales; Fabaceae. The record is from RNAcentral.
AUCUUGUUCAUCAAGAUUGAUUGAAAUUCUCCAUAGGUUGUGGUGGAUUUCCAACAGACUUUAUUAGAUUAAGUUUCAUGUUUUUGUAUUUUUUUUCGUUUAUUUUAAUCGUUUUUUCCGUAUUUCAAUUAUUUUUGCUUAAUAGGGACAUUGUCGGUAUUUUCCUAUUUGUUGUUGCAUUGUUGAAUUAGUUAUGUGUCUUCUCAUUGUUUGUUGAUUUUUU